CCUGGGUGCUGUGACACGUGCCUGUAGUCCCAGCUACUGGGGAGGCUGAGGUGGGAGGAUUGCUUGGGCCUAGGAGUUCUGGGCUGUAGUGCACUAUGCCGAUUGGGUGUCCACACUAAGUUCGGCAUCAAUAUGGUGCCCUCCCGGGAGCCGGGGACCACCAGGUUGCCUAAGGAGGGUGAACCCGCCCAGGUCAGAAACGGAGCAGGUCAAAACUCCUGUUCUGAUCAGUAGUGGCAUCGCGAUGGUGAAUAGCCUCUGCACUCCAGCCUGGGCAAUAUAGCGAGACCCUGUCAAU
This 298-nucleotide signal recognition particle RNA is filed under the name Saimiri boliviensis boliviensis (Bolivian squirrel monkey). Its description in RNAcentral is "Metazoan signal recognition particle RNA (ENSSBOG00000005340.1)". It matches the Rfam family "Metazoan signal recognition particle RNA". Rfam says of the family: The signal recognition particle (SRP) is a universally conserved ribonucleoprotein. It is involved in the co-translational targeting of proteins to membranes. Lineage: Eukaryota; Metazoa; Chordata; Mammalia; Primates; Cebidae. The record is from RNAcentral.